This 497-nucleotide ribosomal RNA is filed under the name uncultured bacterium. RNAcentral describes it as "partial 16S ribosomal RNA". It matches the Rfam family "Bacterial small subunit ribosomal RNA", at positions 28 to 507 of the family's 1533-position model. The record is from RNAcentral.
GAUGAACGCUGGCGGCGUGCCUAAUACAUGCAAGUCGAGCGAACAGACGAGGAUCUUGCUCCUCUGACGUUAGCGGCUGACGGGUGAGUAACACGUGGAUAACCUACCUAUAAUACUGGGAUAACUUCGGGAAACCGGAGCUAAUACCGGAUAAUAUAUUGAACCGCAUGGUUCAAUAGUGAAAUACGGUUUUGCUGUCACUUAUAGAUGUAUCCGCGCCGCAUUAGCUAGUUGGUAAGGUAACGGCUUACCAAGGCAACGAUGCGUAGCCGACCUGAGAGGGUGAUCGGCCACACUGGAACUGAGACACGGUCCAGACGCCUACGGGAGGCAGCAGUAGGGAAUGUUCCGCAAUGGGCGAAAGACUGACGGAGCAACGCCGCGUGAGUGAUGAAGGUCUUCGGAUCGUAAAACUCUGUUAUUAGGGAAGAACAAAUGUGUAAGUAAAUAUGCACGUCUUGACGGUAACUAAUCAGAAAGCAACGGCUAACUACGUG